This 272-nucleotide long non-coding RNA is filed under the name Bos taurus (domestic cattle). Its description in RNAcentral is "long non-coding RNA NONBTAT007503". Lineage: Eukaryota; Metazoa; Chordata; Mammalia; Artiodactyla; Bovidae. The record is from RNAcentral.
CAUUUGCCUAAUAGCACCAUCUCCUGUUAUUGGUUGAUCCAGGAUCUUUGUCCUUAUUAAUUAUUCCUUAAUUUAUUAUUCCUAUUAGAACUAAUCAUAACCACAUAGGAAAAAAACACAUCCAGUGAAAUUUUUAAAACUUCAGACUACACGGAAAGAUGUAGAGCAGAGAACAAAUCCCCCCUUUCCCCAUCAAUGUUCUCCAUGAAAAACCACGGUUAGGAGUUGGAUGCCUUCUGAGCUCUUUUUUAAUAUGUAUAGCUUGGUUUCUC